AGCUCCAAUAGCGUAUAUUAAAGUUGUUGCAGUUAAAAAGCUCGUAGUCGGAACAAUGGUUUGGUGAGUGAGCGUCCAGGGCCUUUGGCUCUGCGCACUGCGAUCCACCGACCUUUUGUUAAUUCGGAGGAACGUGCGUGCUUUUCACUAAGUGUGUACGGGAUUCCGAUAUUUUACUUUGAGAAAAAUAGAGUGUUCAAAGCAGGCUUUUGCCUUGAAUACAUUAGCAUGGGAUAAUGAAAUAGGACAUUGGUUCUAUUUUGAUGGUUUACGGACCGAUGUAAUGAUUAAUAGGGACAGUUGGGGACAUUCAUAUUCCACGGCUAGAGGUGAAAUUCUUGGAUUCGUGGAAGAUGAACUACUGCGAAAGCAUUUGUCAAAGAUGUUUUCAUUGAUCAAG
RNAcentral lists this ribosomal RNA (400 nucleotides) under phytoplankton environmental sample. RNAcentral's name for it is "partial small subunit ribosomal RNA". It matches the Rfam family "Eukaryotic small subunit ribosomal RNA", at positions 587 to 981 of the family's 1831-position model. The record is from RNAcentral.